Molecule: ribosomal RNA, 305 nt
Filed under: uncultured bacterium
Lineage: Bacteria
Description: bacterial SSU rRNA
Rfam family: Bacterial small subunit ribosomal RNA
Source: RNAcentral
GACUCCUACGGGAGGCAGCAGUAGGGAAUCUUCCACAAUGGACGAAAGUCUGAUGCAGCGACGCCGCGUGAGUGAGGAAGUAAUUCGUUAUGUAAAGCUCUAUCAGCAGGGAAGAAAAUGACGGUACCUGAGUAAGAAGCCCCGGCUAACUACGUGCCAGCAGCCGCGGUAAUACGUAGGGGGCAAGCGUUAUCCGGAUUUACUGGGUGUAAAGGGAGCGUAGACGGCAGUGCAAGUCUGGAGUGAAAGGCGGGGGCUCAACCCCCGGACUGCUCUGGAAACUGUACGGCUGGAGGGCAGGCGAG